This 510-nucleotide ribosomal RNA is filed under the name uncultured bacterium. Its description in RNAcentral is "partial 16S ribosomal RNA". It matches the Rfam family "Bacterial small subunit ribosomal RNA", at positions 28 to 507 of the family's 1533-position model. The record is from RNAcentral.
GACGAACGCUGGCGGCGUGCUUAACACAUGCAAGUCGAACGAAGAGCGAUGGAAGCUUGCCUCUAUCAAUCUUAGUGGCGAACGGGUGAGUAACGCGUAAUCAACCUGCCCUUCAGAGGGGGACAACAGUUGGAAACGACUGCUAAUACCGCAUAUGAUCUAAUCUCGGCAUCGAGGAGAGAGGAAAGGUGGCCUCUACAUGUAAGCUAUCACUGAAGGAGGGGAUUGCGUCUGAUUUGCUAGUUGGGGGGGGAACGGCCCACCAAGGCGAUGAUCAGUAGCCGGUCUGAGAGGAUGGACGGCCACAUUGGGACUGGGACACGGCCCAGACUCCUACGGGAGGCAGCCGUGGGGGAUCUUCCGCGAUGGAAGAAAGUCUGACGGAGCAACGCCGCGUGAGUGAUGACGGCCUUCGGGUUGUGAAGCUCUGUUAAUCGGGACGAAAGGCCUUCUUGCGAAUAGUGGGAAGGAUUGACGGUACCGGAAUAGAAAGCCACGGCUAACUACGUG